ACGGUCCUAUGGAUUGUAAACUGCUUUUGUACGAGAAGAAACAACAUUACGUGUAAUGUCUUGACGGUAUCGUAAGAAUAAGGAUCGGCUAACUCCGUGCCAGCAGCCGCGGUAAUACGGAGGAUCCAAGCGUUAUCCGGAAUCAUUGGGUUUAAAGGGUCCGUAGGCGGUUUAGUAAGUCAGUGGUGAAAGCCCAUCGCUCAACGGUGGAACGGCCAUUGAUACUGCUGAACUUGAAUUAUUAGGAAGUAACUAGAAUAUGUAGUGUAGCGGUGAAAUGCUUAGAGAUUACAUGGAAUACCAAUUGCGAAGGCAGGUUACUACUAAUGGAUUGACGCUGAUGGACGAAAGCGUGGGUAGCGAACAGGAUUAGAUACCCUGGUAGUCCACGCCGUAAACGAUGGAUACUAGCUGUUGGGAGCAAUUUCAGUGGCUAAGCGAAAGUGAU
Molecule: ribosomal RNA, 448 nt
Filed under: Flavobacterium sp.
Lineage: Bacteria; Pseudomonadati; Bacteroidota; Flavobacteriia; Flavobacteriales; Flavobacteriaceae
Description: bacterial SSU rRNA
Rfam family: Bacterial small subunit ribosomal RNA
Source: RNAcentral